UACGUAGGGUGCGAGCGUUGUCCGGAAUCACUGGGCGUAAAGGGCGCGUAGGUGGUGGCUUAAGCGUGCGGUGAAAGCUCGGAGCUCAACUCCGAGUCGGCCGUGCGAACUGGGCUCACCUGGAGCAUAGUAGAGGCAGGUGGAAUUCCGGGUGUAGCGGUGGAAUGCGUAGAGAUCCGGAAGAACACCGGUGGCGAAGGCGGCCUGCUGGGCUAUGGCUGACACUGAGGCGCGACAGCGU
RNAcentral lists this ribosomal RNA (241 nucleotides) under uncultured bacterium. RNAcentral's name for it is "partial 16S ribosomal RNA". It matches the Rfam family "Bacterial small subunit ribosomal RNA", at positions 524 to 762 of the family's 1533-position model. The record is from RNAcentral.